This 445-nucleotide ribosomal RNA is filed under the name uncultured bacterium. Its description in RNAcentral is "partial 16S ribosomal RNA". It matches the Rfam family "Bacterial small subunit ribosomal RNA", at positions 354 to 796 of the family's 1533-position model. The record is from RNAcentral.
GUGAGGAAUAUUGCGCAAUGGAGGCAACUCUGACGCAGCCAUACCGCGUGCAGGAAGAAGGCGCUACGCGUUGUAAACUGCUUUUAACCGGGAAGAAACCCCAGGACGUGUCCUGGGUUGACGGUACCGGAGGAAUAAGCACCGGCUAACUUCGUGCCAGCAGCCGCGGUAAUACGAAGGGUGCAAGCGUUAUCCGGAUUCAUUGGGGUUAAAGGGUGCGUAGGCGGAGCGUUAAGUCAGUGGUGAAAUACUGCAGCUUAACUGUAGACUUGACAUGGAUACUGGCGCUCUUGAGUGCGCUGAAAGUGGGCGGAAUGUGCCGUGUAGCGGUGAAAUGCUUAGAUAUGGCACAGAACACCAAUUGCGAAGGCAGCUCACUAAGGCGAUACUGACGCUGAGGCACGAAAGCGUGGGGAUCGAACAGGAUUAGAAACCCGAGUAGUCC